GUGGGGAAUAUUGGGCAAUGGGCGCAAGCCUGACCCAGCAACGCCGCGUGAAGGAAGAAGGCUUUCGGGUUGUAAACUUCUUUUACCAGGGACGAAACAAAUGACGGUACCUGGUGAAUAAGCCACGGCUAACUACGUGCCAGCAGCCGCGGUAAUACGUAGGUGGCGAGCGUUAUCCGGAUUUAUUGGGUGUAAUGGGCGUGUAGGCGGGACAGCAAGUCAGAUGUGAAAACCAGAGGCUCAACCUCUGGCCUGCAUUUGAAACUGUUGUUCUUGAGUGUCGGAGAGGUAAUCGGAAUUCCGUGUGUAGCGGUGAAAUGCGUAGAUAUACGGAGGAACACCAGUGGCGAAGGCGGAUUACUGGACGAUAACUGACGCUGAGGCGCGAAAGCGUGGGGAGCAAACAGGAUUAGAAACCCGAGUAGUCC
Molecule: ribosomal RNA, 428 nt
Filed under: uncultured bacterium
Lineage: Bacteria
Description: partial 16S ribosomal RNA
Rfam family: Bacterial small subunit ribosomal RNA
Source: RNAcentral